UACAGAGGUGGCAAGCGUUGUUCGGAAUUACUGGGCGUAAAGGGCGCGUAGGCGGCUUAACAAGUCCCGUGUGAAAUCCCUCGGCUCAACUGAGGAACUGCACGGGAAACUGUUUGGCUUGAGUUCGGGAGAGGGAAGCGGAAUUCCGGGUGUAGCGGUGAAAUGCGUAGAUAUCUGGAGGAAUACCGGUGGCGAAGGCGGCAUCCUGGACCGACAUUGACGCUGAGGAGCGAAAGCGUGGGGAGCGAACAGG
This 253-nucleotide ribosomal RNA is filed under the name uncultured bacterium. RNAcentral's name for it is "partial 16S ribosomal RNA". It matches the Rfam family "Bacterial small subunit ribosomal RNA", at positions 524 to 776 of the family's 1533-position model. The record is from RNAcentral.